GGAGGUGUAGCUCAGGAGGUGGAGCACCUGCCUCGAGAGCUGGCAGUUCUGAAUUUAAACCUCAGCAUCGCCA
Molecule: transfer RNA, 73 nt
Filed under: Dipodomys ordii (Ord's kangaroo rat)
Lineage: Eukaryota; Metazoa; Chordata; Mammalia; Rodentia; Heteromyidae
Rfam family: tRNA
About the family: Transfer RNA (tRNA) molecules are approximately 80 nucleotides in length. Their secondary structure includes four short double-helical elements and three loops (D, anti-codon, and T loops).
Source: Rfam by way of RNAcentral